GUACGAUUGCAAUCAGCUACCACAUGACCUUUCUUACCACACCGGACACACUUCUUGAUUUCCUCAGGACAGGCGUUGCUCUUGUGGCCUUUCUCACCACAAUUGAAGCACACAAUCUCUGCAGCAUCCUUCUUCUUAGGCCGCCUAACAUCGACCAUCUUCUGUUUCCCUUUGUCAGCGGGGGCACUGUACGGCUUAGGACGACUCUGC
Molecule: long non-coding RNA, 210 nt
Filed under: Medicago truncatula (barrel medic)
Lineage: Eukaryota; Viridiplantae; Streptophyta; Magnoliopsida; Fabales; Fabaceae
Description: long non-coding RNA (MTRU_LNC008602)
Source: RNAcentral